Molecule: long non-coding RNA, 1771 nt
Filed under: Vigna radiata
Lineage: Eukaryota; Viridiplantae; Streptophyta; Magnoliopsida; Fabales; Fabaceae
Description: long non-coding RNA (VRAD_LNC003883)
Source: RNAcentral
UGUAGAGGCGUAUAGGGAAGAAGGGAAGGAAGAGAAAGGGAGAAAAAGAGAGGGAAAAAAAAAAGCAUAAUAGGGUAUAGGAGAGGGGAGGGGGAGAGGCACGAAACCAUGGGCUUGUGCUUUGGUUGCUUCGAUGGGGGCAACAAGCGGAUGACCAAAGAGGAAGAAAGGUUGGCCUCGGAAGAAGCACGUGCAAGAGCUGCUGAAGCUGCCCAGAAAAAGUAUAUCUUCUUCUUCUUCUUCAUCAUCCAUGCAUCUUCUCAUCUUUCAAUCUAUGUCUUCUUUCCUGCUUAUUCCUGCAACUUCUGGUUAAUGUUAAUUGCUUGCGUCUCAUCAACAUACUCAUACGCAUGCAUGCUUGUUUUGUAAUAUUUGAUGAAAAAGAUCUUCGAUUAAAAUGAAUGUAUGGAACCUUCAUUGUCAUGAUGAUGUAUGGGUAUAUAUAUUCAUGUGGACUGAUUUUUAGGUGUUGAUUGUCAUUGCAGGCAAGAGCAACCGGGAGAGGCAAAGGAAGCGGCGGAAGCGGAAGUGGAAGAAGCGGCGGAAACGGAAAAGGAAGCUGAAAACUCCAACAAUGGCGAAGUAAAGGAUUAGAGAGGCCACUUGAUUUUUGGUGAAUUUUUUCAUCAAUAACUUAUCGCGCUUUUUCUAUUAUUAUAUCCUUUUAAUAUCUUGUUGGUCGUCGUUUGGCUAUCAAUAUUAUUAUGGCACUGAUAAAUAUAUGUUUUGGCUUUUCAUCCGUUGACGCAGUGGCAGAUGGGUUGAGGGAUAGGCCAACUGUUUAUUAAAUGUAAGGUGAAUCCUCUAUAUGAUGAAGUUUAGCUCUAGGUUUCCCUUUUUAAAACUUUUGUUUCUGUUGUAAACAAGAUUUCCAUAAACCAAGUUUAGUUUAAAUGAAACUCAUUCAUAGAGUAAAAAAAGCUGCAAUAUAACCAUUAAUUUAUAAGGUAUUAUCAAAUUUGCAUUGGAUAAAAUGGUAGCCAAAUUAAAGAUCUUUCAUGAAUUAUGUCUAGAGAAGCAUAUACGGUAUCAUCAAAAUGCUGCGUGUCUGCACUACAUGAAAUAAAGUUAACAAAAUCCAAACGAGGGCGUAACAAAAAGAUGUUUUUCUACUAUGUUUCAAGCUGAAUGAAUUAUACGUUAGCAGCAUAAAUUUAUGCCUUAUUUUCUGUGUAAAAUGAAAGUAUCUUCUUCCAAUUCAGAAUUUGGAAUUGACUUGUCUCGUUGGCUUUCCUUUUCUUAUUUUGCAGUAUUAAUAAGUAUAGGUCCAGACGAAUCCUCUGCACUGCCAACUUUCCUUGUUCCGGAGAUGAACAACCGGUCUUUACUACACAACUGUACCAUCGGUCAAAUUUGUUGUUUCCCAGAUCAGGAAAUAUUAUGUUUUCGUCAUGUAAAGGAAACAAGGUAGCUUGGUGAUUUUAUUCCAUUUGUUGGUAUUGAAAAAACUCCAUUUUCCUUCCGCAAAAAUUGAACGCAUCAACUACUUUAUGUUAUCUGCUAUUCUGUAUUUGCUUUUAUUUUGGGAAAGGGUGCUAAGAAGAACUUGAACUUGUUUCGUGAUUCUACAGUUGGUGAAAUACGUGCCAUAUAUGUCAUUAAUAUUAUUACUAGAUAGUUUUUCUUAAUGUUAUAGUUAUAGCAGUUACACAUCGUUUUCUUUUAUCAGUUUUUUCUGUUAUACAGAGUUUUAUAUAAGCUCUGUUUUCUUUUCUCUUUCUGAAAGACGCUUAUCUCAGAUUCAAUACAAUGAGAGUUCUUUCAAAACCUA